Ictalurus punctatus (channel catfish) is the source of this 5023-nucleotide long non-coding RNA. The record is from Ensembl. Lineage: Eukaryota; Metazoa; Chordata; Actinopteri; Siluriformes; Ictaluridae.
CAAUCAUUAGGCAUAGGAGAAUGAGUUUCUUUUCUCACUCAACAUUUUACAGCGAUGUUCAAUGUCAUAUUAAUGGGAAAUCCAACAUAGUAUUGGAGUAGUGGACCAAACUCUGGGGACGCAAGUUCCAGAAUGCAAAGCAGUUAUAUGACGCAGUCGUACUGAAUUACGCCGCAGAUACGGAUCGGCUAGUGAGCAAAUGUAUGAGAUGAUAAGCAUGAUGAAGUUUACGAUGGUAUUAGCAUGAAAGUUGAAGCUAUUGAACUGUAUCUGUUUGAACAGGGUGUAUAAAUAAGGAGGUAAGAGAGCUGGACAGAGCAACGGCUAAACUGCACUGGCGCCACUAUCAACGGGUAGUUGUGGGUUAUUUAGGAACCUGUUAACUAAACAGUGAGAAAAAGCAAAUGUGUCAAUAAAAUAAGUAAACUAAACUACUAAAGAGAUAAACAGUUAAUGUUGGAUGCCACUGAAGAUCAAAUGUCAAGUUCACAUGACUGGCUGUUAAACCGCCCCUAAAUGUACUUGACUGCGUGUGCAUCAUGCCCUGAAAUGGACUGGUACUUGUAGUGAAUGAAUAUGCAUGUCAUUCAGGCUGGAUUUCUGCUUUAGUGUAGGUUUAGGACACUGGAGGACCAUACAGAAACAACAAGGACAAAACACAUUGUUGUGUUAACACUGUUGUGUCUCCUCCUUAGCCGUGAGUCAGAGACAUUCAUCAUGGCAUAAACAUGCCGAGAAUUUUGCCGGUUCCUGAUGAUGAAUCCAAACAUGUCUGUCCUGAGAUUACAGCAGUUCCACUCUAGUUCAGCAAGUCACUGUGACCUCAGUCCAGCAUUUCAGUGGAUCAGAAGGUACAAAACCGGGAUAAACACUUCUGAAUCAAAUAACAAAAAGCAAUUGUCUAAGCUUUUGUAAUUUGUUCGUUCGGCUUUCAUAUUACACCACUAACAGUGUGUACUGUAGUUAAGAUCCUUCCUAAGCUGAGCUGCUGUUGUCUACUUAUGUUCUAUUACAACUAGAUUGCUUCAUUACAGUGGAUUAGCUUCAGGCUAUCAGGUAAACAACAAUAUGAGGCAUGUGUUUGUUUCUCUCUAAAUAUCAAGUCAUGCUAACGUUAGAGAACAAUCCCAUACAAAUGAGAAAGCCCUAGAGCUAAUGCAUAUUCACACAAAAAGAUAAGGCCCUAGGCGCAUAUCUUUUACAUCUUUUAGGUUUGCGAUAGGAGUGCUAUAUCUCUGAGAGAAAGGGACGGAAAACAGACAAACAGAGACUGGGACUGACAUAAAUGGAUGUAAACUGAAAGACAGAGAUAAAGAAAAGUCUCGUGUUUUAUGACCUUAAACUUUAGUAUUAUAAAUACACAACUUCAGUGUGCUAACUACGCAACCUCAUAGGCCUAUCAUCUACACAACUGUGUUGUGUUAUGUUUUUAGAAGUUAUUCCUCGUAGUAAAUCCCAACUCAAAAACAAAUAUUUUUUUAAGCAACACUAACUACUAACACAUUUUGAUUGUAAAACUUGCCCAGGUUAACAAUGGUGUGGAAGAUUGAGCAAGUGCCAGUAUCUAUCUUUAUCUGAGACAUUUUACACAUGAAAAUGAGUUAUUGCACAAGCCUUAGUCAAAGAUCAAAGCAAAAUUAUCUAGUUAAAUUACAACUAGAACAAUGGGAAAUGGCCAACCUUUCUUUCUAUGAGUCACCAAACACACUUCAAUAUGAGUCAAGGACAUCUACUAUGUAUUUUAGACCUGCCCAAUGUAGAUCAACUGUUUUCAGCUAAGCAUUGAAGAAGUUCUUCUGCUAGCACCAAUUACUAAUGACAUACAAUGAUCAGGCCUGGACUGUCAGACCCCCGAGGAGUUGGUGGAGGUGGGGAAUUCUACCCUCUUGAGCCCCAGAGGGUUGGGCAUGAGUCAAGGCUGACUCACUGGGAGAAAUCACGCCGCUGCGGGAGGUUAGAAGUGCCUCUCUCUCUCUCUUUUUUUUCUCCAUUCCUAGAGUCUUACACUCAUGCCCACCAUGGUACAUCACUCUUUAUUUAGAUGCUGAUUCAGGAUCAGCCUGGUGAGCCAAGUUCCAUCAGCUGAGGGGGAUUUUAACCAGUUAGGGUUGUGAGAGCCGUGCUAAACUCCUUCUUUAUCAUGACUUGACUUGCUGUUACUAAUGGAAAGAACAAAAAGACUCAGUCAUAAUUUUAAACCGGAAACUGUUUCCUUGGAUAUAGCUAAUUUUAGCACUCCACUGUGAAGAACAUCUUUAAACACUCUUAAAAUGUGGUCAACUUUGCUGCGAAAGUGCACGAGUAAAAAGCUUUCUGCCGAAUGAGAAAUAUCCAUAUGCCAUGCAGGGGGUCGGCCCAGGCACGUAGGGAGCAAAGUCCUCCUUCAAUGGAUCUAGGUCUGCUUUCCAAAUACCAAAGCCUUGUGUCAUUCCUGCCCUUACAAGCUGAGUGCGUGCCAGCACUUUCAAACAAUAGCAAGGAACGGACACUGCUUGCCAAGGCUCAGGCCUGGUCUGUGCAAUCCAUUUCUUGAUCUCUUUCUUUUUCUCCCUAUGCGCUUGACAUCCAUAAUACAACCUUAAUCUUUCAACUUUCUCCUGAGUCAGCAGUCUGAGAACACCAGUGGCAGUGCCGUGCCUCUGUUGCUCCAGUUCUUUCCUAUAUGUAGAGCACAUUCUGCUGAAAACGCGUUCUCGCAAGCACGUCAUCUUAUUCCUCCUGAAGAAAAGACUGCUACAAAAACAAUAACACACAGCUUUCUGGGCUGUAAAAGGACUGAACAGAGUGAAACUGUACUGCUCCUGCUGCUACCAUUGCAUGAGGCUCAGAAAGAACCACAAUCUCAUUUGAGGAAUCGAAAAGUCCAUCUUCCUGAAUCAAUUUUCUAUCAAAAAGAGCUGCUUUUGUUGGCCAUAAAUGACUUGCUGUUGCCACAGCAGUAGUGGUAAUAAGGUGCAGAAUCCUUCCAUUAUCCCGUGGCUUAAUCCUGCGGUCGGCUCUGGAAAGGCCACCAGGCAGAGAAAGGUCGACUCACAUGCAGGGAAGCGGGAAAGCCGACAUUUCUUAAAAACAUUGGGGUAACGUUAAUCCUUCAGCGCUGAUGAGAAGGACAACACCUCAGUGAAAGGUCACCCUGCAGCGGCUGUAUGAAAUGGAUUCCUGGUGCACUGCUUGCCCAAUUUGGUUGGUUUGUUCGAGCUCAUUCUCUCACUCAUUACCUUCUACCAUUUACAAUCAACACACACACACGCACACACAAACACACACCCUCGCCACUCUCUGCUUAUAAAUCCCUAAACACACCUCCAUCUAGCUCGCAUCACAGAAAAGGUCAACAAGCAAGAGAAAACAUUGACAAGCUUUGAAUGAGACAUUUCCAGCAGCAUAAUGCUGCGUUGUUUGCGUGUGGGUGUUCAGGUGGCGAUGGAGGUCAACGCUGUAUCAAAGAGGGCAUGGAAAACCCUGCUCAUCUAUUCCCAGGUUGGCUCAAAUAAAUUACAUUCAUUAUGCAUGGCUGCCGUAGUUUAUUGGAAACGAGUCGAUUGUGAUAAAGCUGCAACCAUACUAACCCAUCUCAGCUCACACCCUACGGCCUUCAGCAGAACCAUCAGCUUUACUACAACAGGUAUGAAAGAAAGCUUGGGAAUGUUCCUUUUAUCUGUAGUAAUCCAUCAAUUAUGAAAUUGAAUUGGCUGGUGCAUGCAUUAUGCAGAGUGUUGCUUUAAUUCAGCCUGUGUAAUUCAGGGAGGAGCGGUUAACCUUCACACGGAUUAGUAGGUCUCCAAACAGUAGCAAACACACAGUACAGCUGCGUCACGCUGCCACAGCAAAGAUUAUGCACACGCACACACACACAGACACACACACACAAACAUACACAACCAUUUACCAUUCACCUUUACCAUGUCUCAUGCACAUUCAUAUACAAAUAUACAAUACCUACUUCUAUAAACACAUCCUCAUGCUUUAUUUUGUCUACACACUCACACUCACACUCACAGACGCACACACUCACUCACAUACUCAUACACUCAUACACACGCUCAUAUACACUCAUACACAUACACAUACACAUUAGGGAUGUCACGAGAACCGAUAGUUCAUUACCAAGUCGGUACCAACAGUAUUAAAAUGUGACGGUACUUGCUUUUCUGCAGGAGCGUAGGUACCGAGGUUGCAAUUCUUCCGGAACUGAUGGGGCAGCAAAUACGCGUAAGUGUUUUAGUCGGUCGACAAGUGGUAAGGAAGAAGAAGAACACCUACAAGCACACGGGGAAAAAACUAGAGAAGACGGCGACAAUUUUAGCUCCGCCCCAACUCGUUGAGAGGAAGGGUGGUAGGAGUUAAAUAUGGAAAUAGUUCGCAUUCGAGGCGGAUGACAACAAACGUAUAAUUGAUUCUCUGAAGCCGGUGAGCAACCGAUGCUAUCGUUCAUUUCAAACAAAGCAAGGAAACACCUCGAAUUUGGCGAAGCACCUGAAAGACGGUCCUAUAUUACGUUUGUUUGAGGCAGCUGGCAUUGUGGCCGUGAAACCAGCUAACGUUAUGCUCCACGUAAUGUUUGCGAUAGCCAGUUAUUUGUUAACGACGCUAACACAUUGCAAUUUUAUAAACUACCUCCGAAUGGGCCACCACGCAUCGCCAUUCAGCCCGUGUCCUGUCAGCUAAAUGUAGCCUAAUGUCACUAAUAAUUAUUCACAUGUUCAUACUUUUAAUAGAUCUUUUUGGCCUUCAAACAUAUCAGUGAAUUUAAACUAAUGCUUGCUUUCAGAAUAUAAGGGGUGUGUGUGUGUGUGCAUGUGUCUGUGUGUGUUUGAUAACUAAAAUAUAUACCCCCCCCCGCUCUCUCUCUCUCUCUCUUUGCCAGUAUCAGCCAGAGGAGGAUGUCCUCCAAGAGAGAUUGUAAUGUUAUUUUUUUAUUUUAUUUUUAUAACACACCGUGGUAUCGACUUUGGUAUCGAGUAUCAUGUACUUUUGGUGGUAUCCGUACCGACUACUACAUUUUUGGUAUCGUGACAUCCCU